AUUCACAAAAUAAAACAUUCAUAACUUGUCACUAUAUGCUCACUUCCAUUUUAAAGUAUCAUCGCAGCUGAAUUAUCAUCACAAUUAUGGAAGAUAAAGCAAGUAAUAACAUCUAGUCUCAACUUCAAUUGUAAUGGAAAAAUAAGAGAGUUCUAAUCAAUCAACUCAACAUCUUAAAAAAUUUCAACAACAAAAUUAGCCUUAUGACUUCAACAUAAUCAGACAUAAGGAAUAAAAUAAGAGUUUAACCCAACCCGAUGUUACAUGAUCAGAGCAAGGUACCACUAGUAAAAGCGACAAAAUAAAGAAGUAAUCCAAGAGCUAUCUUCCACUUACUUCAGCAAUACUACUCUUGAGUAUCUGCACAAUGCCCGUGUAAAGGCAACAUUCAAACAGAAGGGAUGAGAAUUCAUUUCAAUAAUAACGAUAUAGAAUGAAGAAUAAAGUACAACAUCUAUACAAUCCUGCACAACAAUAUAUCACAUUCUUAUAUCCAAAUCAUAAUCAACAUCAUACACGACAACAUCUCAAUUAUCAUCAACAUCAUGCAAAACCAUAUCUCAAUUAUCAUUAACAUCAUAUGCAACAACACCUCAUCCAACAACACAUCAACAACAACCAAUACAAAUGCAACACUUAUGCAAUAUACUCAACACCGACUCGACAUGCAUAUGGUUCCAAAUAUGAACACUCAGGUUCAUCUCACUCCUUGAUCCCCACCAUAGGAUCGUUUACCUCUUGGAACAGGAGCAUACCAAAAUCGCUACCAUCACCAUAGGUAACGCUUCACUAAUCCUCCAUAAUAGAAAUUAGCUACUCGCACCCGAUCCAUCACAAUGGGAUCGAGGCUCACCAAAACUCGUUACCAUCAACAUAGAUAAUGCUUCACUAAUCCCUCAUAAUAAUAAUAAUAAUUAGCUACUCGCACCCGAUCCAUCACCAUAGAAUCGAGGCUCACCAAAAUUGGACCGAAGCCCGUACACCAAGAUGCAUGACUCUCAAAUAACAUGAAUUAACACAACAAGGUUCACCUAAAGGAUCCCCACACACAUAUCAUCAUUUAUACAUCACAUCAUUCAUCUUGCAACAACCAAUUCAUGUUACCAUAUGAAUAAUAUCAACAAACAUCAUCAAUUUAUCAAUAUCUUAACAUCAUCGACAUAACAACAUAAUUAUCACACCACGAUAUUACAACAAUGCAACGGUUCAUCAACCAAACGUAUAAACCAAUACAUUUAUUAACAUAUUAGGCAUGUGAAUAUUAUUAAAACAUAUCAACAAUCACUACCAUGUUAUAUCUCUGACCGUUAGCUUUCUAGCGCUUCAAACAACAUCAAAAUCGGACUUACGAAAUAAAAGUUAUGACCAAAAUCGUUGGGAUGUGUCAAUAAUUCAUUAACCGAACGUAUGAACAAAAACCUCACCAACAUAUUAGGAAUAUGAAUAAUACUCAAUCAAUUCACUUAUCACCAUCAUGUUAUAUCUCUUAGAUUCAGCUUUCUAAUGCUUCAAACCCCAACCCAAAAUGAUUCACGAGUUGAAAGUUAUGAUCAAAACCGUGCACGAAAGUGUUACUAAAAAGUUGUUAUUUUCUGAAAUUUCCAACACAAUUUUCAUCUUCUUCAACCCCAAAAACAUCCAUAUAAUAAUCACCAAAAUUAUUUUAUUCCUGAAACAAAGUUAUAGCCCUCUAAUUCAGAUAUCUAACGCUUCAAAUAAAACUCAAUUUGGACUUACGAACCAAAAGUUAUGGCCAAAACGAUUUCGACUGAAAAACAUAAAAAAACAAUAGGUCUUUUUAGCAUAUUUUAUCCUCACUCACACGCUUUCCAGGAAAGUUCCUAGAUGGUCACCCAUCCAAAUAUUACUCCAAGUGAAGCAUGCUUAACUAUGAAGUUCUUAUUUGUUAGCCUACCAGAAAGAAGAUGCAUCUUGUUGGUAUAUGUAGUAUCAAUCAAUUCUUAUAAGUCUUCCUUCAACCAUGCAGUCACAUCCCUACACAACCUCAUGAUCCCUCUCAUUUUAAUGUGAAUUCAAUGACCACUCUUCGCCCUCUUCAUCCUCGAGUGUUACAUCCACUCUCCGCCCUCUUCUCCAUUGGGUGUUACAUGCUCACCAGCUUCUGCUUGGUUCGUCCCCGAACCACAUUGUACUAGGAGAUGUUUUACUCUAAUACCAUUUGUAACGCCUCAGAUUGCUUUCAAUAUUAUUGACUGAUGCCACAAAUUAACAUGGUUCUUUUCAGCAUAUUUUGUUCUUACUCACACGUUUUCCAGGAAACUUUCCAAAUGGUCACCCAUCCAAAUACUACUCCAAUUGAAGCACGCUUAACUAUGAAGUUCUUAUUUGUUAGGCUACCGAAAAGAAGAUGCAUCUUAUUGGCAUAGAUAGUACCAAUAAAUCCUUAUAAGCCUUCCUUUAACCAUGCAGUCUCAUCCCUACACAGCCUCAUGAUCCCUCACAUCCCGGCGCAAAUUCGACCAACCACUCUAUGCCCUUUUUGGCCUCGAUUAUUUCACCCACUCUCCACCCUCUUUGGCCUUGGGUGUUACAUAACUCAUCCUCCUCCCGAGACGAUCAUUCUUUGAACAAGAUUUAGGCUCUAAUGCCACUUGUUGAACAUGUGAUUCCAUACAUAAAUACAGGGGUACUCUCCACCCUCUUUGGCCUUGGGUGUUACAUAACUCAUCCUCCUCCCGAGACGAUCAUUCUUUGAACAAGAUUUAGGCUCUAAUGCCACUUGUUGAACAUGUGAUUCCAUACAUAAAUACAGGGGUGAAUUGUGGUGGAUAGAAAAUCAAUGGUUUAAAACAAAAUCAUUUUCAAAAUCAGAGUUUGAAAACAUUUUAUCAAAAUGUUAGUAUAGGCAGCAAAAAUUUAAGGUAAAGAAAAUAUGUGAAAAGUAAAUGGUUAAGAGAAGAGAGAUAACUUCAUAAAUUUAUAAAGGUUUGAUCUUAAGAAGUGACCUACUCCACUACCCAAUAAUUGAUAUUGGGAGUAUUCAAUAAUUCUUGAGAGCUUUUAGAAUGUUAAUCCCAUGAACCCUUUUAUACAAGGAAAAAUGAAGUUUCAAGAAAACAUAUAACAAACCAAUGAACAAAGGAAUGAAGCGGUUAGUCUUAUCGUAAAAAAAAAUAGAACAAAGCUUUGAACGAUUAGUCUCUAAUCCAAACUGAGAUUUUGUACAGAUUGGUCUCAAACUAAGUUGGAGUUUUGAGUUGGCUAUCCUCUAAAUCUAACCACAGUUUUGUAUAGGGAUGACCACAAACUGAACUUAGAUCUUACACCUCUCAAACCAAUAAAGUUUUGUAUAGGGUUAAGCUCAAGAAUUGAUGUGAAUAUUUUUCUCUGGUUAUUCUUCAUGAACCCAAAAGGAGAUCUUUUCCUUAAGUGUCAGAGAUCACUAACCAAAUGGAGACUAACACUAAUCCCCCAAAGAUAUUUUAUACAUAUUUAUAUCCAAACCUAAACAAUUUCUUCCUAUGGAAUAAUAAUUUCCUCAAGAGUAAAAAAAAUCUUUGUCAAUUUACAAUAACUUCCUCACUAAACUUAAGGAUGUUUCUCAACGUGCUAUGACUUAAAAUGUGUGAGAGAAAGAAAAAUAAUUUAGAGAGAUAUUGAGAGAGAGUAAGGUGAGAUAUAUCUCAUUUUUUGGAUGAAAUGAAAUUAAGGGAAAUGCCUAUAUUUAUAGGACAAGGGAUGGUUCAAUUUAGGAAACAAUCCGUAGGCAAAAUUAAUUAUUUAAUCGAUUAGGAACAUGCAAUAAUCAAUUAUUGCUUCACAAUUUGGAAGUGUUGGAUAAAGAGUCGUUACCAUUCAAUAAAAAAAUUCAUAAUCGAUUAUGUACUUGUUUCACAUUCAUCUAAUCGAUUAGGAAUUUGUCUAAUCGACUAGACAAUUCAAAAACUUUUCCUAAUGAAUCUGACAACUCCCAAAUCAUCUAGCUAGGUUCAAAAAUCAUUUUUUUUUAGGUUUUAUUUGAAAAAUAAUAGGAUAAAAAAUAUUUUUUAGUGCGUGUGUGAUUUAACCAUACUACUUAAAACACUAAUCACUCAACUAGAUACAAUCAACCGAACUUUCACACUUUCACACUCUGAAGCUUCAAACCCUUUUGCCUUAUAUACUAAUCAAGUAAGGGAUGAUGCUUUAUAUAUCUUCAAAUUAGAUGACAUAAUCAAAGAAUAGUAUUGGUGAUCAUAAAAUACUAAUUCUUUAGCUUGAUUAGGAGUAAAAGCUCGAUUAAAACUUUGUGCAUCUUUGACAGAUUGAUUUUCUUUAUCUUCGUGCAUUGUUGUUUGUAAGACCCCAAUUUUGACCUUAAGAUCCCUCAUGUUAUCUCAUCAUUUUCAUUGGAUUUGGGAUCAGACCUUGGCAUACUCCUCACCCCUUAUUCCUUGGGUUUGCAUUGGGAGAGAUCGCCAAACACUUUUGAUUGUAUCAUACUUUAUUUUUAUUUGUUUACUAACCAAAAUUCUAAAAAUAUGUCUAUGUAUAGCUUUGUUUCUUUUGUAGGUGUGCGUGUGUCCAUCUGUGCCCCCACCAAGCUCAUAACUAGGGUUUGAGACCCUUAAUGCAAGAGAUCAAUUAAGUAAAGGUUCACAAUGGUUCUAAUUAUCACAUAUGGAUCCCCGUGUUCUUCAUUUAUCAUUUUUAUCAAGAAUUCAUCAAGAAUUUGAAGCUUGUUUGCCUUAGAAGCCCUAAUUCAUCUAGGGUAUCUUGUGUGACUUCCUUAGCAUGUUUCUUCACUAAUUGGUCAAAUAUCUCAAGGGAUACUUCAUUAUACAUCAUCUUAUGCAUAUAUGAGCCCCCAUGAGCCCCAAAUAUCAAAAUAACUUCAAGUUUGCAAGUUGGUUCAAGGAGGUUGACUAGAGAAAGUCAACUGGUUAAAUCUAGGUUUCCCUAGACCCUAUCUCCUAUAAUUUUUGUCAUAUGAAAAUGAUUCCAAGAGAUACGUUACCUUUUAUGAAAUUCCAAACAACUUUCAUGUUAACAUCAAGAUCUAAUUUUGCUUGGAAAGUCUUUUUUUUUGUGAAAGAUUAUAAGUCAUUUUGUUUGUGCCCUAGUUAAGAGGUCAACUUCCAAAGACCAUAACUUGCUCAAUUUGUGUCAUAUGAAGGUCAUCCAAGUUUCAUGAUUAAUUUAAAGAUGUCUUAUCAAACUUUUAUUCUUUUAUAAAUUUCAAAUUCUACUUGAAAGGGCAUGUGCCAAGAGGAAACAUUAUAGGUCAUUUUGGGCCUUUACCAUUGAACAAACAAUUUUCCUCAACUUCUAAAAUCCAUAACUCCCUCAUGAAAGAUUCAAAUGGUGUCAAAUAUGUGACCAAAUUUAAGAGGAAUGAAAGAGAUUCAACUUUGGUGAAGAAACCAUUUUCAUUUGAAGCUCAUAGAAAAAGUUAUUCAAGGUGGAAAAAGUGAUCAUUUGACUUUAUACUUAGAAAUUUUUAAACUAUGUUUGAUUUCUCCAACUUCCACCUCAAAAUUCAUUAUGAUCCAAGGUCCAAAUGGAAACUUAUUUAAUAGAAAAGUUAUUUCCCUUCAUGUUACCUUUCCAAAGAGUCCAAGAUCAUGACAUUUGGAGAAUUUUGGAAGGACUUGUGCAUGGGUGUAAUGCAUGGCCUCAUUUGGUAAGUUCGAUGUCCAAUUUCCAUUUCACUAAUGAAUGAUCCCAUGUUAUCGUUUCAGGUUGAUUAGCACAUGAUUUUGGAUCUUUUGGCAUCAUUUAAUGGGUCUAUCAUACGCCCAUGCAACCAAGACUUUAUAUUUUUGACAAAGUUUGGAAGUGUGUGAAAAGCAUUUGAAAAGCCUAUAAAUACAUUGCAUAGAUUAUCAGAAUAAAAAACCUUGCCCAAGCUUUGCUCCUGCAACCUUCCCACCCUCCAUUGAUAGGAUAAUCUUGAGGACUUCAAUUGAAAUCGAGUUUCAAUUCUACUUCUGUUUUGAAGUUGAAACUCCAAGUGUGCAAGUCAUUUGAGCUCUCAUUUCAUCUCCUGCAAGCAAGUAGAAGCAAGCCCAAACAAAUUGAGUUCCAGAUCGAGCUUCAUCACUGUAAACAGAAGGUGAAUUUUGUGAAACUUUUUCUCUUUGAUUCUCUCUCAAUUCUCCAUCAUUUCAAUUAAUUUUUGGUUGGCUGAAGUCCUACCAAUAUAGGCAACAAGAUUGAGUUUCUUUGAGGUCAAAUGGAAGCAACUCAGAUCAUACACCUCAAAUUUUAAAUCAAUGUAUCUUUCAAUAUAUGUGGAAUUGAGAGAAAUUGAGGUCAGAUUUGGACUCCUGAGGAUUUUUACUUCAAAUUAGUGUAUUCAUUUUCCAUUUUUAUGGUGGUUGGUGGUGGACCGUCCAGUGAGAUCCAUCGGAGAAGAAGAUCGGAGCUAGGGCUCUGGUGGUGUGUUGACACCCUUCCAACUGUUUGGCGAUGUUUGAAUAUUUUAAUCAUAGUCAUUGGUUCAGAUUACCAUGCGCGUGGCACGUUUAACUUGGUGUACUGUGUUGAGCAUGCGUGUGCCCAUCAGAUCUGCCACCUCAAUUAAUGAGGGAGAUAUGAUGACCCUUGUUUUUUCUAAUUUCUUUUUAUUUUCUGAUUUUUCUUUUAAUCCUUUUAUUUUGAUUAAUUCAUAAUAAAUUGAUUUUUAAUCCAAAAAAUUAUGGGACUUUCACCAAAAAUCUUUAAAUAUUUCCCCUUCCAUUUUUGAAUUAAAAUCAUUUUUGGAUUAAUUUUGAUAUUUUUUGUGAAUUAAUUGAUUUUUGACUUAUUUUUAAAUUUUUUAAAAUACUUCUGACUUUCCAAAAAUUCUAAAAAAUUCUGUCUAGGGUCCUUUGACCUUUUUUGACCAAAGAUAAAUCCCUUGGCCAUUUAUUUGGUGAUUUGAAAGGAUUUGAGGUUUUGUCCAUUUAAAAAUACAUUUUAAUUCAUUUUAAAAUUGAUUUUUAAUUGAUUAAUUAUUUAAAAAAAUUGUUAACCCAUUUAAUUGAUCUUGUGGUGUUUGGUCUUGGUCAUGGUUGAUUUGACUUUUGUUUGACCAAUACUAUUGGAUUUAGGGGGUUGAUGAAAUGUACAUUUCAUCCUCCAGAAUGAAUGGAUAAUAUUGAUGAGAUGAAAAUCCUCAUAUGAUCAAUUUGGAUUUCUAUUUCCCCUUUCCUCUUCAUCUUCAUCCCUAUUCUUUCUCAAUCCAUCAUUGACCAAUGAAUUCUCUUCAAGUCAAAAUGCUAGUUGAUUCAUCAAUGACCUUAUGUCAGAUGAAUCAACAUGAGUCUGACUGAGAUAGGUCUCUCCCGUCUUUAUUUUUAUUGUGUGGUAUGUUUUAGGAGUUUGGUUCUUGGUACCAAGUCUCUAACAUGCAUUAACACCAAUAUCUUUAUUGCCCAACCUCAGAUAGUUGUGACUUCUACAUAAGUCAAAUUGUGAUUGCUUAACAUAUAGCUAAAUUUAUCCCGCAAGGCAUAACAUUCUAGUAAGUGAGUUUGUAAAUCUCCAAUUCUUCAUGGUAUUGUGUGAAGACUUGACCUUUUUUCCAUUCAUGAGAGUUAAUGGCAUACUUGUUGAUUUACCCAAGUUGGAGCCCUUCUCAUGGAUGAUGCCUUGGUUCAUGUCUUCAUACUUGUGAAUCGAUGGUUGAGUAUUCUCCAAAGAAUGACUUAGAUAAUCAAAACUCUUCACUAGCCUUUGACUAACUUCUUACUAACAUUUUGCUUUACUUUCAAGUCAUUUACUUAAUGCAAUUUAAAUUUCAGUACCUUUAUCAUUCAUUGCCAUUUACAUUUCAUGCAACUUAUUUAUGUUUCAGUCUUUUUCACUUUGUUCACUUGAGCCAUAUCUUGUGAUUGUAUAUAUUGUGUGCUUGUGCUUUUAUUCUGUUUGUGGUCUUAGGACCUUAAAAUACCUAAGAACAAAAAAAACCCUAAAAAAUAUCUUGGUGGGAUGUUGGACUUGAUAUGAACUUUUGGACUUAGUGUGGGCAACUUCCCUAUGCUUUGAGGACUUGGCCAAUGCCACUACUAGAGACAAAAUCAUAUUUGAUUGUGUCUUUCAUCUGAUGAAAACCUUGGGCGCUCCUAUUUCAUCUGUCACUUUGUCUUUUAUCAAACGUCAUUUUGACCAAAACACUUGCACACAAAAAAUGUCUCCCUAGGAGUACCUAGGACACUUUUGAUGCUAACACAUUCCCUCUGUGUAACCAACCCCCUUACAUGUAAUCUAUGAUAUUUUAUUAGUUUUGAUUUGAAAACUUCUUAUCUUUGGGUUUUAUUUCGUACUUUUCCCUUUUUUCCUUUGGAAACAAUAAAAGCGUGGUGGCGACUCUGGUUUUAUCGACGUCAAGUUUAUCCAUAACUUGAUGGUCAUGAAUUUACCGCUACAUUGUCAUUCAAUAUUCUUUAAGAGUUAUUACAUCUUUAGAUUUUAUCAACAAAACUACUUCAACCGCUUCAGGUGUUGACAUCAUAAAAACUAUGACAUUAUUAGUGCUAAGCAUAUCUUGCUUAUCUAUGAGCUUAGAUCAUUUCUUGAUUAUACCAGCAAGCACAUAGUUCCACAGUUCCAACUGUUUUCUUUUGAUUUCUAACAUGUCUUUCAUGGUGUCUCACUUCUAUCUAAAAGGAAAACAUUAUACGGAUAAACUUGAUUCUUUUGGUCUAUCCAUAUAUUAUUAAUGAUGGAAGAUAUUUCAUAUUUUAUUAGAUCUGAUUAUGCCCGAAAUAGACUUAAUCUCUCAGAAUACAAUUUUACUUAGUUUUGAGAGUUUUGGUGUUAUGCCCCCUCUUUUUGGUAAGUAUUAUAUAUAUAUAUAUAUAUAUAUAUAUAUUAUAUAUAUAUAUAAUAUAUAUAUAUAUAUAUAUAUAUUGAAAAUUAAAGGCAUAUGAACAAAUAUAUGAAAAAUGAAAUCAUUUAAUAUACGAUGAUCACUCUUUUAUCAUCUUCCAAUUGAGGUUCUUGUGUGAAGACAAGUCUCUUAUGAAGUUGUUUUGAUGAAGACAAAUUUAUAUAAGAAGGAAAAUAUUCAACAUUGGAUUAUGUGUUUCAAGACCUGCCUUUCAUUCCAUAUCCUCAAUAAACAAAUCCCUAAUACACUUAGCUCACACUAAAUCCAUUCUCAACAAGCAUUUUUUUUUGAUAUUCUUGUAUUUAAGCCUCUUCUACCCUAAAUGCUUGAAAAGCUGCUGCAAUUCAUACAUUCAGGUCCAAGAUGAUUAAAUAGGAGCAAUUGUCAUACCCUAAAAUUUAUCGUACUUUUUUUAAUUUUGUUUAGCUUAUUGCUCAUUGCAUCUACAUAUUCACAUACCAUAAUCAUUCAUCAUAAGACAUUCAUUUUACCAUUGCAUUUUUAAACUAAUAUAAUUGAUUCAAAGGUUUACGAUUGGAUUCUUAUUGUUUGGCUUUUCAAGUCUCAUGGACUAGGGUUUACUUCCAUGGCAUAUAUGAGGAUCAAACUAUGGGAUUAGAUCUACUUAGGUUGAUUAUUCCUUGAAACCCUAAUCAUUAGUUUAUGAUCUCUUGGCUAUUUGGGUUGCAUCAUGGCAUUGAUAGUGAGAGACUUUUCUCAGGCUUUGAUUUUUGGUCAAAUAUGAGUCAACCUCAAAGGGGGCCAUUUCAUUAUGAAGUUACUUGGCAGCUAUUAUGAGCUUUAAAUAUAUUUGAUUUAAAACAUGAUAAUUCAUUUCAAGAUUCAUUCAAGUUCAUGUUCUAAGUGCAAGUUUUUCAAAGUUGGGAUUAUGGGAUGGAAACUAUCUUUCUUCAAGUACAAGAUACUACAAUUCAAGGACCCAUUUUCAUUGCAAACUUUCAAAGUUUCAUUACAAAAGGAUUCAUAACAAAAUUACACCAAAAAAAUCAUAAUUUUGACCUAGGUUGACUUUUGGUCAUCUAUUGACUUUUUGGUCAAAUAGUUGACCAAAGUCAACCAACUACGCCAUAACCCUAACAUUUACUCUAGACCUAGUUUCUUCAUUUUAAUCCAUCAUCUUCAUGUCCAUGUUCCAUCAAUGCAAUGCAAUGCAUAUAUUCCAAAACCACUAACAUAUUAACUUCAAUUCUAAUUUCAACUUUUCAUAACAGUUGCCAUUCAAUUUAACAUAACUUCAUCUAACUCAUUAACAUAACUAGCAUACCUCUCCAUGAAAAUGCUAAAUAUCACAAGCCUACAUAGCUAGUAUCCAAUUCAUCAACAUGAUACUCUAAUUGUUCUAGACAAACUAUUUUUUCCACUGCAAACCAACUGCCUUUAGUUACUUUUAACCAAGUCACAUAGCUACCAUUCAAACUUCAUUAGCUUCUUAACAAUCCUGGCUAACCAAUCCAAACAGUUACGUAUUUUAGAGCAAAGUUCAACCAAUUCAAAUUCAGAUUAGGAAAAAUAUCACUAAUUCAGUUUUAUAGUUCAAACUCUAGUUCAUUUCAACAUAAUUUUCACCAAAUCAACUUACUCCAAUUCCAUGCUAUAACUAAUUUCAAGAUUUUACAAUUUAAUAACGGUGUUUCAAUUUAUUCAAACAACUAAUUUUUGAUGCUCACUGUUCCAUUCAUUACCAAUCUACAUUAAGGUUAAUUUCAAGUCUUAACACAUUCCAGUUCAAUUCCAACAUAAGUCACUAACAACAAGCAUGUAUUCAAUUCCAUAUGUACAUCACAUCAAGCAUUCAGAGUAAUAUGCAUAAAAAACAAACUUUAGUUCAUUUGCAAUUACUAACAAUAAUUAACUAUAACUACACUAACCCGCUAACUUGUGUCCAUCUUUAACAAUUCACCAGUAGUUCCCAAUUUAUUAGCAUAACAGUCGGUUUCUAUUUCACAUAAUUCCCUAACUAACUCAUUAAUAACAACCGAACUCAAUUCACAACAUUCAUUAACAAAAAAGCAUAACUGAAAUUCAAUCCCACAUUUACAAUGCAGAAAUAGAUGUAAUUCAUGCAAUCAUUUCACAGUUCACUAAUCAAACUAAUUUUUAUUCAUAAUGAUUUUAAAACAUACUACUUUAACACUAACCACAACCUUGCAUUCAAAAACCUAACUAACUAUUCAAUUUGCAACUAACACUUUCUAACCAACUGAUUCACAUCUAACAUAAUUAACUAGCAUUAUUUCACACUCUAACUGAAAUCCAAUUUGUUACUAACUAACCAUAACAACAACUUAACAUAAGCUAACUAAAUUGAUCACUUCUAACCAAAUUACACUAUGGAUUUUAACAUAGUUAGCACUGCCCCAACGGUUGCCUGAACUACCUGAAUCGGUUGCAACCUCUCACCCUAUAAAUCAUCACCAAUCAAUCAUUGUUCAGGAGGACUCUUCAAUCAUUCAUCACCUCACAAACCUAUAAGCUCACAAAAUUUUCUAAUUCACCAAUCAUUUUGGCACAUUCAUAUUCAAUUCUCAACCUCAUUGCAUAAACAAAUUCACAAACUCUUCACAACUCUCUUUGAAUAUGACUGAGGAACAAUUUGCACAACACUCUGCAAUCUUCUCACUCUCUCCAAUCAUUGGAAUUCAAUCACAAACAAUCAUCACCAAUUUCUCUCUAAAAAUCUCUUACAUACAACAAUUAAACAACAAUAGAAGAAUCACAAACCUACAAGCUACAGAAGAAGAAAAGGUGGGAUUGCAAAAGAGAAGGCUAAGGAAUUCAAAGCAUACCUCUGGUUUUCUCUUAUUCUUCAUCUUCAUUAGCUUCCCUUUAAACAAAUUCUGAGGCAAACCAUGGUCUUGCAAGUAGGUCCAAAAUUCCUAUUCUUCUUGCUCAAAUUCUGUUACUGAAUGUAGACUUAUUGUAUAUGAACCAAACCCAUAAGGCCAGAGUUCAGAUUGAAGCUCCGUUUUGAUUUAAUUUCACUUUCUUUGGCUAGGGUUCUUCAAUGGUUUGGUUCGGUUUGUAUAAAGUGUUAGGUUCUGAGGGAAAUUAAGGAGAGAUCAAGAGAGAGGACUUUAGGAGCAUCAUUUUGGUGGUCGUAGGUGUUAUUUUGCAUCACUCUGCCACCUACCGUGCGGCGGAGGAACCAACACCGGCGAGGAAGUUUUUAGAAAGGAACAUGAUACUACAAUGUGAAACAAGGAAUGAUCGAAAAUUUUAGUUUCU
Molecule: long non-coding RNA, 12061 nt
Filed under: Lathyrus oleraceus (garden pea)
Lineage: Eukaryota; Viridiplantae; Streptophyta; Magnoliopsida; Fabales; Fabaceae
Description: Pisum sativum (pea) long non-coding RNA (PSAT_LNC001078)
Source: RNAcentral